This 236-nucleotide ribosomal RNA is filed under the name uncultured Staphylococcus sp. RNAcentral describes it as "partial 16S ribosomal RNA". It matches the Rfam family "Bacterial small subunit ribosomal RNA", at positions 104 to 334 of the family's 1533-position model. The record is from RNAcentral. Lineage: Bacteria; Bacillati; Bacillota; Bacilli; Caryophanales; Staphylococcaceae.
GGGUGAGUAACACGUGGAUAACCUACCUAUAAGACUGGGAUAACUUCGGGAAACCGGAGCUAAUACCGGAUAAUAUAUUGAACCGCAUGGUUCAAUAGUGAAAGACGGUUUUGCUGUCACUUAUAGAUGGAUCCGCGCCGCAUUAGCUAGUUAGUAAGGUAACGGCUUACCAAGGCAACGAUGCGUAGCCGACCUGAGAGGGUGAUCGGCCACACUGGAACUGAGACACGGUCCAG